RNAcentral lists this ribosomal RNA (465 nucleotides) under uncultured Klebsiella sp. RNAcentral describes it as "bacterial SSU rRNA". It matches the Rfam family "Bacterial small subunit ribosomal RNA", at positions 338 to 795 of the family's 1533-position model. Lineage: Bacteria; Pseudomonadati; Pseudomonadota; Gammaproteobacteria; Enterobacterales; Enterobacteriaceae. The record is from RNAcentral.
CCUACGGGAGGCAGCAGUGGGGAAUAUUGCACAAUGGGCGCAAGCCUGAUGCAGCCAUGCCGCGUGUGUGAAGAAGGCCUUCGGGUUGUAAAGCACUUUCAGCGGGGAGGAAGGCGUUAAGGUUAAUAACCUUGGCGAUUGACGUUACCCGCAGAAGAAGCACCGGCUAACUCCGUGCCAGCAGCCGCGGUAAUACGGAGGGUGCAAGCGUUAAUCGGAAUUACUGGGCGUAAAGCGCACGCAGGCGGUCUGUCAAGUCGGAUGUGAAAUCCCCGGGCUCAACCUGGGAACUGCAUUCGAAACUGGCAGGCUAGAGUCUUGUAGAGGGGGGUAGAAUUCCAGGUGUAGCGGUGAGAUGCGUAGAGAUCUGGAGGAAUACCGGUGGCGAAGGCGGCCCCCUGGACAAAGACUGACGCUCAGGUGCGAAAGCGUGGGGAGCAAACAGGAUUAGAUACCCUAGUAGUC